Long non-coding RNA from Equus caballus (horse), 4983 nucleotides. The record is from Ensembl. NCBI's taxonomy places the organism in Eukaryota, Metazoa, Chordata, Mammalia, Perissodactyla, Equidae.
CCACCCUUAAUGGCCUGCUUCUACAGUGUGGCUCAGGGCUCACCCCUGAGAACUCAGCCUAGGUCCACUCCCUCACAUCUCCCCACAGGUGGGGAAUUAUCAAUAUUCCCUAGGAAAUACCACUCUUUUGCACUCACCAGAGAAGAUUCUGUUCUCUGCAAUAAGAAUACUAACUCAUACAUUGAAUUGUGCAUUUUAAGCUUUCUUGAAGCCUGUAACUUUAAAAAUUGUUGUGACUGGAGAAUUGGAGAGUACUGCAUUUCUUCUGAAAUUCCCUGCAGUCCAUGGGAAGAGACAGGAAACAAGGAAAGAACAGGGUUAAAAAUAGUUCAGAACAAGAAAGCUUCGAUUGUGGGAUCACCAAUGACCAUUUCACAUUUUCUGAUCUUUCUGCCCAGGGAUUACUGGCUUCAUGUCCAUCUUCCCUCCUAGACAGUAAACUCCAUGAGGACAGGGGGCCGUAUUUGUUUUGUCAACGCUUUCUGUGUGACACCCAGCAUACUUCUGGCUUAUAGUAGAUGCACAAUCAACAUCGUGUGACUCCAAAUACACAGCCAGGUUCGCGAGACGCUAACCUAGUCCAGCUCUUCUCCAAAUUCUGCAGAGGUAGAGACAGGUAAGGAGCGCACCAAGGCAGGAUGUCUAUCUGUUCAGUAACAUCAAUGGUUACCAUUUAUCAACCACUGCUGGGAGAGUGGUCUUGUGCUAGUCCAUUCUACACGUUAUCUCACGCUUCGAAAGAGUAGGUUUAUUACUCUCAUUUUACACAGAGAGAAACUGAGUCUCAAAGAAGUGAAGUAAGAGUCAUAGCUAGUGAUUGUUUUUAUUCGAACUCCAAAUUCUGAUUUCAAAGUCCAUGAUGCGGUUUCUGUUCCACCCCACAUCCUCUGUUACAGGGAUUCGCUGGCUUUUCAGGAACAGUGGCUCGACAGCGUAGGAGGCUCAGAGCGUCUACAACCCCUUCUUCAGUCACGGGAAGCCCUUUUGAGAGACUCUGGGUGUCCAGGUAUCGCCUGCCUCUGUGUAGGAAUAUCCUCCUCUUGUAGGGUGCGUCUCCUUUCCACUCCUAGGGGCAGACCCGGCAGUGGGGAGACCCACCCCAACGUGUUCUUCUGGAGGCCAAGAGGCAGGUCUCAGAACGCCUUGGUGGUUCGGCCAACCAAAUCUGAGGACACCAACACUAAUUUCUAGGCAGGAGUGCUUUCAGAGAAAAUAAUUUUACCCAAGGAUCGUUUGUGUAGUACAAUCAUAUUCGCCUUCACAGCACUUUUGGAUUCAACUUAAAAACCCCUUUUAAAAGCCAGUGUGACACAAAAGGAGCUUGGUUGAUUCUGUCACUUUAUUAUUCAUUCAUAUAUUCAUGUAUUCAUUCAACAAACAUUAAUACAGCCUCAACUACAUGUAAGGCACUGGGCUAGGAGCCCCAUUAAAUGUGUUAGUUUUCUCUCUCCAAUCACUGUAGUACAACUAGGAGGGUUGAAAUAUACUGUUUUGUAGUAAACGCUUUGGGUGGUUACAUCUUUGGAACCUUGAAUCCUGCGUGUGUGACUGUAAGAAUCGGUUCCUUUCUUGUAGAAACAUUCGAGCUAAGCUUAGUCGUAGAAAUACGUAUCCCUCUGUGUUGGACAUGACUCUUCACCACCUCAAUUGAUGUGAGUGUGCCUUAGCUACAUAUCAAGUCACACGAACUCACAAACAUGCCCAGUAUCUCCCAUAACAUCUAAUAUUUUAAAUGUACUUUCGUUGUCUCUUUGCUGUCUGAGGUUUCUUAGAUCCUGAUGACAAUUGUAUUAACAAAAUUUUGUGUCUAUUCUGCUCUGCUCAUCGGAGUAUGGGCACUGAUGUAAAGAAGAAAAGAAAAUGCCAACUUCCAGAAGGUUUUAAAUGAGAUAUUUUUGCUGAGGACACUUCCAGCAAAGACCAAUUUUCCCUGACCUUGUCACCCAGCUGGCCUCCUGAGAGGGCCACUUGGACUCCAGCGGCUGAUUCAUUACAGAUUCAAGUCCAGGUGGAGAAUACACUUGAGCAAGAGCUUAAAGCUCGUUAUAGUCUCACCUGCCAGGAAAAGUCCCUGCCGCUCAAGGUCUAUUAGAAAGGAUACAGCUUACCCGUAACUAUCUAGCUUUGGGCUGAAAUCGCACAAACGAGUUUCUAGUCCAUUAGUACCUUAAAAUCAGAAAACUCAAUUAGGUACUUCUAAAUUAAAUGACUGUUAAUUGGCAGAGAAUUGAAUUUUGAUGUUUUAAAACUUCUCGCCAAAAGCUUGAGACAUUUUAGUGUUUUAAAAUAUAGUGAAAAUAUAGUGAAGCAAUUAGAGUAAGAAAUCUGAGAAGUCAAUUCAAAUCGGGCUUCCUGCCACCUCCCUCCCGCCUCCCUGACUGUAGAUGUUUCUUAAGUACUCUGCACUUGAGUUCUUCUAUGUGGAAAACUGUAAGGACAUUCACCUUUGCCCAGAAGGUGUCAGGGUGCCCAUUUAGUGACUUGAAUCCUCCUUUCAAGUUCCAGAAUGCACUCUUCGAAGGAAGCAGGCCAGCGUCAACCGCCCCACCCCCAGGUCCCCUGUGGUAGUUGAGCCCAGGCCCAGCCAACCUCUCAGAGAACGGGGAGUCUUCAUGCAACUCCUUCUCCGCCCGUCUGGAACGAGAAAGAGAUUUUUCCUUUGGAUGAUUCCCAGCAGAGAGGGGUUUGUGCCUCAGAGAGAAUGAGGUUUAAUAGUUUUACCAACCCCGGUUAGAAAUUUAGUUCCCACUUUCCAGAUGUGUGGACAGUCUUCUCGUCUGUGAAGCUAUUGCCGUUCAUGAGGAACGAGCGAGACAGCAGAUGUCGAGCACACACACAGGGCACAGUAGAUGGUGGCUGCAACAGAGAGCACCCAGCGAAUGAGUCCAGCCCCGUGACAUCCACUGGCCGGCCUGGCGGGGCUGCCUGCCAGCCUUGGGGAAGCCUCCUAACCUGGGAAGGUCAAGUUCACGCAGGCAGGGGGCUUUCUCUGGUCUCCAUGCAGAGAAGCAAGAAAAGUGCUGUGGAUUGGGGAAAUAGACUCAGACACUGCUUUGGGGAAGAUGCUCAGGAAUGAAUGGUCUCUUCAUAUCCCAGCAACGUAAUGUCAGGAUUUCCCGACCAGUAACAUGGCUUCCUUUUCCUAAAUAGUUUUCAUAAUGAUUUCUAAUAGGAAUUUGCGUAUUUAAUGGGAACACAAUAUGCAAUUCUGUGUUUCUUAUUAAUACUCUGAGGAGCAAUAAUAGUCAAAGCUCCAAAAGCUUAUGAAGACUAAUACCCAAAUGUGGUUAAAUGUAUUAAAAAGCCUUAGUGAAAAAUGUGCACUAUUGAUCCCACUCACAGUCUUGGCUUUCACGAAGGGUCCAUUAAAGCACAGCAUGUGAUCAACGCAAAUUAAUCCCCAAUGUGUGGCUUUCCUCCGUCUUAAAAUGAAAUGGCAUGAAACUAAAGCUGAAAUAUUCUGGAAAUUGCUGAAUAAUUAUAACCUUUUUUCUUCUUUCCGUGUUUUAUGUAAUUUACUUAUCAAGGGUUUUCAAUAUUGAGUGUCUCUCAUGCAAACAACAGUUUCCAAAGUGGUUAAUAAAGAUAUAAUAAAAUAGACUUUUUUGGUCUAUCACAAAAAAAUUAGUUUAUCUUCCUCCCUAGGGCCCAAGGCAGAUAAAUCACAGACACUCAGCCAAGUUAGAUACAAAUAAAGUUUAUAUUACUAAAUCCUCAUGGUUCAACAUUUUGUUUAUCAAGAAAACUUCUAGACUGUUCAUCUAUAUAAGAACUCACCUCUCCUUCUAAUUAAUUAUUCUAAUGUUAUUCCCUGAUGAGUAGACUAUCAAAAAUAUUUUUAAGCAUUUUCUGCUAGAGAGCACUAAAUAAGAUUUUUUUUGUUCUCUGUAGAUUUUUAAAAUUAAAGUGAAAUUUAUAUAAUAUAAAAUUAGGCAUUGUCAAGCGUACAAUUCAGUGAUAUUUAGUACAUUCAUGAUGUUGUACAACUGCCAUCUCUAUACAGCUCCAAAACAUUUUCAUCAGCCCAAGAGGAAACCCGUGUCCACAUUAAGCAGUUAUUCCGUAUACUCCCCAACUCCUGUGACUGCCAAGCUUUGGUUGCUUUAAAACUGCUUACAACCAAUUAGAGGAAGAGAUUUCUAUGUGUUUACCAUGGGAAGCGUAGUGGUGACCUGGAGUACCUGGUAAAAAUGGAGACUCUGGGCGUCCGCGCAAAGACAUUCAGUGCAAUCAGUCCUGGAAUAUCAGCCUCGAGGCCGUUUCUCCAGACCUCUGAGCACGCUAGGGAGCUUGCGCUAAUAAGCACCUUCAGCCUAACAGGGUGACGGAGAUGUGAGGAGAAGGCCCCUUUUUAGAAGUUCCCUCUGAUGGGAUGAGAAGACAGGGUGCGGGGGCAUCAAGGUGGGUCAGGGGAGAGUCUGGAGGAUGACGCAGCACAUCUGCAUGCUGCAGGCAGACGUGGGCACUGAGGAAGCUUCUACUGGAGUGUCAUACUGAGAAGGAAGGAAGGUAGAAAGGAGGGAGGGAGAGGGGAGGAAAGGAAGGAAGGAAGAGAGGGAGGAGGAAGGAGGUGGACUGGCAGGAGGCAGGUACCUGUGAUCAACUGUGGCUAGAAGGAGAGCUGGUUGCUCAUUUUCACCAGGGAGGGAGAAGGAGGAGGCAGGUGUAAAAGCUGGCAGUUUGUGGAUUUGGUGGUGGGGAGCCCUUCUGAUUGUACCCUGUGUGCCUGAAAUUCUCCACUGGCAUUGGCUGACUUCAGGGACUACAGAUGCACUUACAUGCCCUGGGAACGCAAGCAACUGCUAUAAACCUUCGCUUCUUCAUUAAGUGACAAAAAGCUGCAAGACUGAGUUACAGCCCUGGAGGUUAUUGUCAUUCAAGUCAUAUGAGUAAAAGCUUUUGAAGGAGAAAGGUGAAAAUGUCCCAGGAAAGGAUGGGUGGGGAGGAGCAGAGAGCGAGGGGACGACAGUGGCAGAGAAGAAC